RNAcentral lists this ribosomal RNA (484 nucleotides) under uncultured bacterium. RNAcentral describes it as "partial 16S ribosomal RNA". It matches the Rfam family "Bacterial small subunit ribosomal RNA", at positions 29 to 507 of the family's 1533-position model. The record is from RNAcentral.
AUUGAACGCUGGCGGCAUGCUUUACACAUGCAAGUCGAACGGCAGCGCGGGCUUCGGCCUGGCGGCGAGUGGCGAACGGGUGGGUAAUGCAUCGGAACGUGCCCAGUAGUGGGGGAUAGCCCGGCGAAAGCCGGAUUAAUACCGCAUACGACCUGAGGGUGAAAGCGGGGGACCGAAAGGCCUCGCGCUAUUGGAGCGGUCGAUGUCGGAUUAGCUAGUUGGUGGGGUAAAGGCUUACCAAGGCGACGAUCCGUAGCUGGUCUGAGAGGACGACCAGCCACACUGGGACUGAGACACGGCCCAGACUCCUACGGGAGGCAGCAGUGGGGAAUAUUGGACAAUGGGGGCAACCCUGAUCCAGCCAUGCCGCGUGCGGGAAGAAGGCCUUCGGGUUGUAAAGCGCUUUUGUUCGGGAAGAAAACCUCUGGGCUAAUACCCCGGGGGGAUGACGGUACCGGAAGAAUAAGCACCGGCUAACUACGUG